This 393-nucleotide ribosomal RNA is filed under the name uncultured bacterium. Its description in RNAcentral is "bacterial SSU rRNA". It matches the Rfam family "Bacterial small subunit ribosomal RNA", at positions 28 to 426 of the family's 1533-position model. The record is from RNAcentral.
GAUGAACGCUGGCGGCAUGCCUUACACAUGCAAGUCGAACGGCAGCACGGGAGCAAUCCUGGUGGCGAGUGGCGAACGGGUGAGUAAUAUAUCGGAACGUGCCCGGUCGUGGGGAUAACGUAGCGAAAGCUACGCUAAUACCGCAUACGAUCUACGGAUGAAAGCGGGGGAUCGCAAGACCUCGCGCGAUUGGAGCGGCCGAUAUCAGAUUAGGUAGUUGGUGAGGUAAAGGCUCACCAAGCCGACGAUCUGUAGCUGGUCUGAGAGGACGACCAGCCACACUGGGACUGAGACACGGCCCAGACUCCUACGGGAGGCAGCAGUGGGGAAUUUUGGACAAUGGGCGCAAGCCUGAUCCAGCAAUGCCGCGUGCAGGAUGAAGGCCUCGGUUGG